UUCUUUGAGAUAGCACGAAACGUGGAAGCA
Molecule: non-coding RNA, 30 nt
Filed under: Rattus norvegicus (Norway rat)
Lineage: Eukaryota; Metazoa; Chordata; Mammalia; Rodentia; Muridae
Source: RNAcentral